GGAUUUCCAACAAAGAUGUGGCUCUCAGGAAGUUUAAGGUUUUCUUCUCCUCCUUUCCUUCUCAAGUUUCCUUCUUUUCUUCCAAUCCUCACUUCCUUCUUUUGCUCUCAUUCUCACUCCCAAACCUUCUUACACCACGAAGCUAUCUCAAAAUUCAAUCGCUUGCUUCAUAUGCCUGAGGUUCCUCCCAUCUUCGAAUUUGGAAAGAUUUUGGGAUUCCUUGGGAAGACGAAGCACUAUCCUACUGCUAUUUUUCUCAGUAAGCAAAUGGAACUCAAGGGAAUUCAGCCUAAUCUUGUUACUCUCAACAUCCUCAUCAAUUGUUUUUGUCACUUAGACCAAUUGGCCUUAGCUUUAUCUGUAUUUGCCAAGAUUCUCAAACUGGGUUAUCACCCAAAUGACAUAACAUUAACUACACUCAUCAGAGGUCUCUGUGAUAAGGGCGAGAUCAAAAAAGCACUCUACUUUCACGACAAAGUAGUAGCACUAGGAUUUCCACUCGACCAGUUCACUUACGGGACUCUGAUCAAUGGAUUGUGCAGAAUAGGGGAAACUAAAACUGCCAUCGAGUUGCUCAGAAGGAUUGAAGGUCGAUCAACGGUAAUGUACAGUAUAAUUAUUGACCGUCUAUUCAAAGAUAAACUUCCAAAAGAAGCAUAUGAUAUGUAUUCUGAAAUGGUUGUGAAGGGAAUUUCUCGAGAUGUUGUUACCUAUACUACUCUAGUUUAUGGCUUGUGCUCUGUUAAUCAGUUAGAACAAGCGUUAGGAUUGAUAAAUGAAAUGCUAUCAAAUAGCAUCCAGCCAAAUGUUUAUACCUAUAGUAUAUUGAUUAAUGCAUUGGGUAAGCAAGGAAAGCUAAGAGAAGCCAAGAAUGUAUUGGGUGUGAUGGUGAAAGUUUAUAUGAAACUUAAUGAUUUUAGCUUUAAUGCUUUAAUGGAUGGGUAUUGCUUUGUUAAUGAAGUGAAUAUUGCUAAACAAGUAUUCAAUGCAAUGACCCACAUGAGAGUGAGUCCUACUUUAUACAGCUAUAAUAUCAUGAUAAAUGGACUCAUAAUCAACGAUAGGGUGGAUGAGGCCAUAAAUUUAUUUCAGGAAAUGCACAAGAGGAAUGUCAUUCCUAAUACAGUAACUUACAAUAUUAUUAUAGAUGGUUAUUGCAAAUUUGGAAGAAUAGAUUAUGUUUGGGAUCUUAUUGACAAGAUGCACUGUAGUAAUCAUCAACCAGACACCAUCACUUACAGUUGUUUGUUAGAUGCUUUAUGCAAAAACCACCAUCUAGACAAAGCAUUUGACUUAUUCAAAACAAUGAUGGAAAAAGGAAUUCAGCCGGAUAUGUACACAUGGAGCAUACUUAUUAAUGGAAUGUGCAAAGGGGGAAGACUUGAGAAGGCACAAGAGAUCUUUCAAGAUCUUUUAAUUAAAGGCUACCCUUUAGAUGUAUGUAAUUAUAGUACUAUGAUCAAUGGUCUUUGUAAAGAGGGUUUACUUGAUGAGGCAUUGACCUUAUGGUCCAAAAUGGAAGACAAUGGUUGUUUGCCUGAUGCACUAGCUUUCGAAAUAAUGAUUAGGGCUCUCUUUGAAAAGGACAAGACUGAUAUGGCAGAGACAUUUCUUUGUGAAAUGAUCUCUAGAGGUUUGAUAAAAGGUGAAACCUUAUUUAUUAGAGGAGUGUUACCUUUCUGCAACUUAUUUUUUACAUGCUGGAUGUGGAGUUGAUAUUUUUUUAUUUUGUACCCUGCAUUUUGAUUGCUAUAGAACUUCUGUUUUCUUUGACUUUGCAUUUUUAUUGUAGAAUUUGUUUAACUGAUUAGUACAGGGUUUGAAAUGAAUGAUUUCAUUGUCUUUCUAGACCAAAAUGGUGACGUCGCUUCCUGUCUAAAAUCUGGAUGGCUUUUUUAUUUUUAACUGUUUGAUAUUCCCCAUUCAUGUUCGUCAGAACCCAAAUAUGUUUUUUCUGUAGGGCUUUUUCAGUGUUACACCUAAGGGAAGCUAUAUUUCUUUCAUUAUUAUAGAAAUCACAUUUUCAUAUAGAAAUAUAGUUUAAGUGUGCAAGGAAAUAAGGUUGGGAGGGACAAGGAAGAAAAACAGUGGAUAUACUUAGGACAAUCCCAAUUCCCAUGAUAAUAGAUAAUGCACAGCUAUUGAGCAUUUGGUGGGGAAAUUGUUGGACAAAAGUUUCAAGUUCAUUUUACUUUUAGAAGUUAUCUAUCACAUAAUAAGAUUAUUUAAGAAGUGUACAAUCAUACCAUAUUACCUUAUUGUUAUUUUGAUAUAACUCAUUACAAGUUUUCUAUUAUUUAAAUAAGCUUCAAUCCAAUGAAACGAGGGGCCAUUAAUAAAUCAGUGAAAUUCUAUAAUAUGCUCUUUGUUUACAAAAUAAUCAGUUUUGCUGGAUAAAUACUACUGCUGCUGUUAAACAGAGAAAUGCUAGACACAAUAUUGAUCUUUGACAUCUAAGAUCAGAACAUCUAUCUACUAGGAGAUUGGAUGUAAUGAAAUACAAAUAUUAUUUUGUUGUUCAUAGUAGCAAAGAUCUUAUCUGUUAUACUUGCCAUCUUGCUAAACAGAAGGAACCUUCUUUCUCUGCUAGUAAUUCUCAUGCUGAAAAUAGUUUUGAUCUCAUACAUGUGCAUAUUUACGGACCAUGUUCUAGCAUUUCUAUAAAUGGAUACUGAUAUUUUUUUACUAUUGUUGGUGAUAAUACUCGUUUUAGCUUGUUUGAUUAAAUUUAUUGAGUGUGUAAAAACUCAGUUUCAGAAAGUGUGUUAGAACUGAUGAUGGUUUGGAAUUUAAGACGAGUGAUUACUUUGAAACAUCAGAACAAAAUGCUCUAGUUGAACGGAAAUACCAACAUAUUUUAAAUCUUACUAGAUUUUCCUUUUCAAGCUAAUCUUUCUUAUCAAUUCUGUAGCUUUGCUGUUAUUCAUGCUGUUUUCUUGAUAAACUGUAUUCCUGCACAUUUCCUUGAUAAUAUCUCGCCUUUUGAAAAGUUAUAUGACAAGCUAAGUGAUAUAUUUAUACUUGUUUGAUUUUUAAAUUUUCAGAAAAAGAAAAAAGAAAAAAGAAGAGGCUAACAGCUGCUGUGGUGCGAGAAUUGGAGUUGAGCAGUUUUGAGCAAUCAUUGAAGAACAACUUGUAAUAUGUUUGACUUGUUGCUGUCAAUUGAAGACUUGAACGAAACCAACCCACACAACCUGGACCUGCCAAGUCAAAGAGAAAGAAACAGUUUGAGUUCAAGCAAUGCAACCUGCGCUGACCUCUUGGAUUAUAUCUGAAUAAAGGAGCUUGAAGAGUCAAUUUAUCUGCGCUGACCUCUUGGUACAAAAUAAGUAUGCUCCAACAGUACAUAUCCGGCUGGAUUCCUUUUUCAUCUUUGUCUCUUAUAAUUCAAAUGCUUUGUCUAUAUGAUAGAUUUUGCAUGAAGCAUCUAACAAACAAUCAUAAGUAAUUUUGUUUGGUUGUUGAUUUCUAUCAUGCAUCUCGUCAAUAUGACCCAUAAGAGGAUUGUAAGUUACUUUCAUUUAUGUAUUUUCUGAAAGAGAUUUAUGUAUCUUAUCGUUCCUUAUGAAUCCAUUUAUCAUGAUAUUGUAGCUUGGAAACAAUAGGACUCACUCUCAAGCAUUGCAUUGAAUACUUGUUUCAUUGAAUACUUGUUUCGCAUCUUCACUUCAUUAACUAAUUAAUACCCAUCCAUUAAAGUAUUAAAGCUAAAAUCAGUAGGCUUCACAUAGGCUUUCACCAUCA
RNAcentral lists this long non-coding RNA (3744 nucleotides) under Vigna radiata. Its description in RNAcentral is "long non-coding RNA (VRAD_LNC000232)". Lineage: Eukaryota; Viridiplantae; Streptophyta; Magnoliopsida; Fabales; Fabaceae. The record is from RNAcentral.